AAUAUUGGACAAUGGGGGCAACGGUGAUCCAGUGAUGCGGGUGUUGGUAAGAAGGUCUGGGUAUUGUAAAGCACUUUAAGGUGGGAGGAAGGGCAGGAAGUUGUGGUCUUGCUUGUUUGACGUUACCGACAGAAUAAGCACCGGCUAACUUCGUGCCCGCAGCCGCGGUAAUACGAAGGGUGCAAGCGUUAAUCGGAAUUACUUGGCGUAAAGCGCGCGUAGGUGGUUUGUUAAGUUGGAAGUGAAAGCCCCGGGCUCAACCUGGGAACUGCUUUCAAAACUGGCACACUAGAGUAUGGCAGAGGGUGGUCGAAUUUCCUGUGUAGCGGUGAAAUGCGUAGACCACCGAAGCAACACCAGUGGCGAAGGCGACUACCUGGACUGAUACUGACACUGAGGUGCGAAAGCGUGGGGAGCAAAC
Molecule: ribosomal RNA, 421 nt
Filed under: uncultured bacterium
Lineage: Bacteria
Description: partial 16S ribosomal RNA
Rfam family: Bacterial small subunit ribosomal RNA
Source: RNAcentral